GGACCCGCACAAGCAGCGGAGCAUGUGGUUUAAUUCGAAGCAACGCGAAGAACCUUACCAGGACUUGACAUCCCUCUGACCGGGUGGUAACGCACCCUUUCCUUCGGGACAGAGGAGACAGGUGGUGCAUGGUUGUCGUCAGCUCGUGUCGUGAGAUGUUGGGUUAAGUCCCGCAACGAGCGCAACCCUUGUCAUUAGUUGCCAGCAGUUCGGCUGGGCACUCUAGUGAGACUGCCGGGGAUAACUCGGAGGAAGGUGGGGAUGACGUCAAAUCAUCAUGCCCCUUAUGUUCUGGGCUACACACGUGCUACAAUGGCUGGUACAAAGAGACGCAAGACGCGAGGUGGAGCAAAUCUCAAAAACCAGUCCCAGUUCGGAUUGUAGGCUGCAACUCGCCUACAUGAAGUUGGAGUUGCUAGUAAUCGCGAAUCAGAAUGUCGCGGUGAAUGCGUUCCCGGGUCUUGUACACACCGCCCGUCACACCAUGGAAGUUGGGGGCGCCCGAAGUUGGCCAGUUAAUAGGUUACCUAAGGCGAAAUCAAUGACUGGGGUGAAGUCGUAACAAGGUAGCCGUAUCGGAAGGUGCGGCU
RNAcentral lists this ribosomal RNA (590 nucleotides) under uncultured bacterium. RNAcentral describes it as "bacterial SSU rRNA". It matches the Rfam family "Bacterial small subunit ribosomal RNA", at positions 917 to 1519 of the family's 1533-position model. The record is from RNAcentral.